Penaeus chinensis is the source of this 174-nucleotide long non-coding RNA. RefSeq lists it as uncharacterized. The record is from RefSeq and is a predicted model, not a curated record. The transcript is spliced from 3 exons. Lineage: Eukaryota; Metazoa; Arthropoda; Malacostraca; Decapoda; Penaeidae.
GUUGACAUCAACAUGGCAUACAGAAUCUUUCUCGUGGCCUUGGUGAUCGUCUCUCUCAUCGCCUCCAUGGUCGCCGCCCAACCGCCUCCCAUAUGGACCCUUAUGGAAGGAGGCAAGCCCUCGAUUGAAGGUUUGCCAUAAAUUUUAUUUAUGAUAAUAAAAUCAUGUAGUGUA